CACUGUUUCGUAGGUGACCUGCG
This 23-nucleotide ribosomal RNA is filed under the name Heterodermia pseudospeciosa. RNAcentral's name for it is "partial 18S ribosomal RNA". The record is from RNAcentral. Lineage: Eukaryota; Fungi; Ascomycota; Lecanoromycetes; Caliciales; Physciaceae.